Molecule: long non-coding RNA, 629 nt
Filed under: Homo sapiens (human)
Lineage: Eukaryota; Metazoa; Chordata; Mammalia; Primates; Hominidae
Description: HSALNT0370544
Source: RNAcentral
UCCUGGGCUCAAGCGAUCCUCCCACCUCGGCCUCCCGAAAUGCUGGGAUUACAGGUGUGAGCCAGGGUGCCUGGCACUGUCUAUUUCUUACUGUCUCUCUCCGCCUGUCUGAUGAUCUUUGUCUCCCUGUUUCUCUCGUUCCCUCCCUGACUCUCAGUCAGUUUACCUCUCUGUCUCUCUGUCUGCUUCUGACAGUGUCUCCCUCUCUGUUUCUCUUGGCCUCUUGAAUUCUCUGUCUCUGAACAUGUGUGUCUGUCUCUCUUUCUCCAGGAUAAAGAAUGCUGGCCUCGGUGGGCACCCACAGUCCCUGCAGUUGGACUACCCUGCUCCCAGCUCCCAUAAAUAGUUUGGCUGAUACCUUGAGGACUAAAGAAGUGCAUGGAAUACAGAUAUGUUCACAGCGCUCAAAAGAAAGGUGAUACUGAACUUAUGAAGCAGAUAAAUUAGGGGUGAUUAUUCUCAUUACAAAAGGAUACGCUACAGGGAUUCUUUAAGUGAAUGUUAGCCAAGGACAGAGACUGGGUCUGUCUUCACUGUUGGCUUCUCAGCCCCUUACAUGGGAACUGGCACUUAGGAGGGGCUCAGCAGGUUCUCUCUCUGUCACCCAGGCUGGAGUGUAGUGACUCAAU